GGAAGGAUCAUUAUUGCACUGUAACAAGUCUCUGAUGUGUGUUUCUGGAUGCGGAUUUUUCGAAUUGUUCUGGUUGGAAUGUUUUACAAUCAUGAGUCCAAGCAAUGGAUAUCUUGGUUCCCACAACGAUGAAGAACGCAGCGAAAUGCGAUACGUAAUGUGAAUUGCAGGGUUAAGUGAAUCAUCAAAUGUUUGAACGCAAGUUGCGCCGCUUCGGCGGCAUGCUUCUUUGAGUGUCGGUUUCCUUGUUGGGCGAUUUGACUAUAAUUGUCUUUGUAUGCUUGUGAGCGUCGGUUGAAAGACGGGGCGCGCACUGAAAGGAACAACAUCUGUUUCACAAUAGCAUCGGACCUCAAAUGAAGUAAGACCACCCGCUGAAUUUAAGCAUAUAAUUAAGCGGAGGAAAAGAAACUAACGAGGAUUCCCUCAGUAACGGCGAGUGAAGCGGGAAGAGUUCAAACCUGGAAUCGCGUGCCAACGCGAAUUGUGGUGUGUAGACGCGUGCCUCAGCGGCUGUGCCGGUGGAAGUCGAUUGGAAAAUCGCAUCAGAGAGGGUGAAAAUCCCGUUCGACACUGGACUCGCAGUCGCGUUCGAGCCGUCGUUUUCGAGUCGGGUUGCUUGGGAGUGCAGCCCUAAGUGGGUGGUAAAUUCCAUCUAAAACUAAAUAUGUGUGGGAGACCGAUAGCGAACAAGUACCGUGAGGGAAAGAUGAAAAGAACUUUGAAAAGAGAGUAAAAAGUACUUGAAAUUGUUUGGAUUGAAGGGAUGACGCUCAGUCGGUCAGGAUGGCUUGGCGGCGGGCUUGCUGCGCGUCGGGGUAGGUAGCUGGCCUCUUGCAGGCCAGUGUUUGGCCCGGCGCGCAGAGUCCGGCGGCGAGCGAGGUCGCGGAUAGAUCCUGACGAAAUGGGCGUCAUUCACCCGUCUUGAAACACGGACCAAGGAGUCUUACAUGUCUGCGAGUGUUAGCGUGACUAAGCGUUAUCGCGCAAUGAAAGUGAAUUCGUUCAAACGAGGGCGACUACGGUACGACCCCGAGCAUACAUGCAGGGACCCGAAAGAUGGUGAACUAUGCCUGGGCAGGAUGAAGCCAGGGGAAACUCUGGUGGAGGUCCGAAGCGAUACUGACGUGCAAAUCGUUCGUGUGAGCUGGGUAUAGGGGCGAAAGACUAAUCGAACCGUCUGGUAGCUGGUUCCCUC
This 1198-nucleotide unclassified non-coding RNA is filed under the name uncultured fungus. Its description in RNAcentral is "sequence contains 18S rRNA gene, ITS1, 5.8S rRNA gene, ITS2, 28S rRNA gene". The stretch from base 348 to 1198 matches the Rfam family "Eukaryotic large subunit ribosomal RNA", at positions 1 to 961 of the family's 3401-position model. The record is from RNAcentral. Lineage: Eukaryota; Fungi.